AUGAUGAAGCAGGAGUCGUGGAUGGAGGUGCUGCCGGUGCCGCCGGCGCCCUACUUCGCCGGCCAGGCGGGCGGCUGGUUCCUGCAGGACCAGCGGGGCCCCGGCGGCGUCGGCGGCGGGGCGUGGUCACCGGCGGAGAACAAGCAGUUCGAGGAGGCGCUCGCGCGGGUCGACGGGGACGCGCCGGACCGGUGGGAGCGGGUGGCGGCGCUGCUGCCCGGCAAGACGGUGGCCGACGUCAUGCGGCAGUACGACGACCUCGAGAACGACGUCUGCUUCAUCGAGGCCGGCCUCGUCCCCUUCCCCCACUACAACGCCAACGCCCCGGCCUCCGGGUUCACCCUCGACUGGGACGGCGGCGGCGACCUGGCGUUCAAGCGCUCCUGCUACAUGGCGGCGGGCGGCAACGGCAAGCGCGGGCGCGGCGCGGACCAGGAGCGCAAGAAGGGCGUGCCCUGGACGGAGGAGGAGCACAAGCUCUUCUUGAUGGGCCUGAAGAAGUACGGGCGCGGGGACUGGCGGAACAUCUCGCGCAACUACGUGACGAGCCGGACGCCGACGCAGGUGGCCAGCCACGCGCAGAAGUACUUCAUCCGGCUCAACUCCGGCGGCAAGGACAAGCGCCGCUCCAGCAUCCACGACAUCACCACCGUCAACAUUCCCGACGACGACCACGCCAGCAACACCAACCCCUCGCCCUCGCCGCCCUCCGCGCUCACCGCCACCUCCUCCGCCCCGGAGCAGUUCGGCGCGCUCGCCGACAGCAAGCCGCCGCCGCCUCUGGGCGGGCACCACCACUUCAUGCCGGCCCACCUCUACGGCAGCGUGAAGCUGGAGGCCAGCAAUAACGGCUACCACGGCGACUCUGCUCUGAUGCUGAUGCAUCAAUGCGGCCAGCUCCAGCCUCUCGGUUGA
This 915-nucleotide ribosomal RNA is filed under the name Triticum aestivum (bread wheat). RNAcentral describes it as "partial small subunit ribosomal RNA". Lineage: Eukaryota; Viridiplantae; Streptophyta; Magnoliopsida; Poales; Poaceae. The record is from RNAcentral.